RNAcentral lists this small RNA (408 nucleotides) under Pongo abelii (Sumatran orangutan). Its description in RNAcentral is "processed transcript". Lineage: Eukaryota; Metazoa; Chordata; Mammalia; Primates; Hominidae. The record is from RNAcentral.
AAUCGGGACCUGACGUGAGCAGGGGUCAGACGUUAGCCUGGCAUCGGCUGGUGGGUCAAUGUGGAUGGCGGGGGCGGGGUAUGAGCUAGUCCUCUGUCUCCCACCAGAUGUGCUGUGAUCACCGAGUUUGCUCGCAUUCAGCUUGGGGCCAAAGGAAUCCAGAGAAGGCCUGCAUGUGCUGGAAGGCCUGGCAGCUUCGGGCCUACGUUCCAUUCGAUUUGCCCUAGAGGUGCCUGGGCUCAGAUCUGUGGUUGCAAACGAUGCCUCUGCCCGGGCUGUGGAUCUCAUACGCCAGAAUGUCCAGCUCAAUGACGUGGCCCACCUGGUACAGCCGAGCCAAGCAGAUGCCCGGAUGCUGAUGUACCAGCACCAGAGGGUGUCGGAGAGGUUUGACGUCAUCGAUCUGGA